This 743-nucleotide ribosomal RNA is filed under the name uncultured bacterium. RNAcentral's name for it is "bacterial SSU rRNA". It matches the Rfam family "Bacterial small subunit ribosomal RNA", at positions 8 to 765 of the family's 1533-position model. The record is from RNAcentral.
AGAGUUUGAUCAUGGCUCAGGACGAACGCUGGCGGCGUGCUUAACACAUGCAAGUCGAACGGAGAUAGAAGCUUGCUUCUAUCUUAGUGGCAAACGGGUGAGUAACGCGUGGGUAACCUACCCUAAAGUGGGGGAUAACAGAUCGAAAGGUCUGCUAAUACCGCAUACCCUUCAAGUACGAGAGUAUUUGAAGGAAAGGAGUAAUCCGCUUAAGGAGGGGCCUGCGUCCUAUCAGGUAGUUGGUGAGGUAACGGCUCACCAAGCCUAUGACGGGUAGCUGGUCUGAGAGGAUGAUCAGUCACACUGGAACUGAGACACGGUCCAGACUCCUACGGGAGGCAGCAGUGGGGAAUAUUCCGCAAUGGGCGAAAGCCUGACGGAGCGACGCCGCGUGGAUGAUGAAGACCCUAUGGGUCGUAAAAUCCUUUUGUGAGGGAAGAAGAUCUGACGGUACCUCACGAAUAAGCCACGGCUAACUACGUGCCAGCAGCCGCGGUAAAACGUAGGUGGCAAGCGUUGUCCGGAAUUACUGGGCGUAAAGAGUGCGUAGGCUGUUUUGUAAGUCUUAGGUGAAAUCUAUCAGCUCAACUGAUAAACUGCUUAAGAUACUGCAUAACUUGAGGGCAGGAGAGGAGAGUGGAAAUUCCCGGUGUAGCGGUGAAAUGCGUAGAUAUCGGGAGGGAACACCAGUGGCGAAAGGCGACUCUCUGGACUGUCCUGACGCUGUGGCACGAAAGCUAGGG